GACGAACGCUGGCGGCGUGCUUAACACAUGCAAGUCGAACGGAAAGGCCCUGCUUUUGUGGGGUGCUCGAGUGGCGAACGGGUGAGUAACACGUGAGUAACCUGCCCUUGACUUUGGGAUAACUUCAGGAAACUGGGGCUAAUACCGGAUAGGAGCUCCUGCUGCAUGGUGGGGGUUGGAAAGUUUCGGCGGUUGGGGAUGGUCUCGCGGCUUAUCAGCUUGUUGGUGGGGUAGUGGCUUACCAAGGCUUUGACGGGUAGCCGGCCUGAGAGGGUGACCGGCCACAUUGGGACUACGAGACGGCCCAGACUCCUACGGGAGGCAGCAGGGGGGAGUAUUGCACAAUGGGCGGAAGCCUGAUGCAGCAACGCCGCGUGCGGGAUGACGGCCUUUGGGUUGUAAACCGCUUUCGCAUGUGACGAAGCGUGAGUGACGGUAAUGGGUAAAGAAGCACCGGCUAACUACGUG
Molecule: ribosomal RNA, 468 nt
Filed under: uncultured bacterium
Lineage: Bacteria
Description: partial 16S ribosomal RNA
Rfam family: Bacterial small subunit ribosomal RNA
Source: RNAcentral